Molecule: ribosomal RNA, 161 nt
Filed under: Amaranthus dubius
Lineage: Eukaryota; Viridiplantae; Streptophyta; Magnoliopsida; Caryophyllales; Amaranthaceae
Description: 5.8S ribosomal RNA
Source: RNAcentral
CCAAUCUUCGGAACCGAAUUUCUGGCUCCUCCCUCCAUGAAAAACGGAACCAAAUGGSAAACUUGGUGGGAAUUGGAAAAUCCCCUGAACCCUCCAAUUUUUUAACCCCAGUUUGCCCCCAAGCCUUUCGGCCAGGCACCUCUGGCUGGGCCUCCCCCCCU